GCCCGGCUCACGCGGCUGAGCCAACGUUGUGUCCUUCAUAGAGCCUUCUAUGCCACACAUGCCUGCCGGGCUCCCCGAAAUAGUUCUGGAGUUGGAGUUUUCAUCGGUACUCUGGGAACAGAGCCUGCCACCCAACACCUCAGCCGGAGCAGGGAAAAAAAUAGAGAGAGAGACUGUGAACAUAAAUGGUCUGGCCACUGCAGAAAACAGUGUGGUGCUUUCUCAAGAAGUACAACAUGGAAUUACCACGUGACCCAGCAAUUCCACUCCUAGGAGUAGUUCUUAUGUAUUGUACAGCAUUCUGCAAAUGAAGAAAACACAGAAGGGCCACCUGGCUGGCUCAGUUGGUGGACUGUCAGUGCAACGCCUGAUCUCAGGGUUAUGAGUUCAAGUCCCACAUUGGGUGUAGAGAUUACUUUAAAAAAAUAAAAUCUUAAAGAAAGAAAAAAAGAAAA
This is a long non-coding RNA of Mustela lutreola (European mink), 455 nucleotides long. RefSeq lists it as uncharacterized. The record is from RefSeq and is a predicted model, not a curated record. Lineage: Eukaryota; Metazoa; Chordata; Mammalia; Carnivora; Mustelidae. The transcript is spliced from 4 exons.